AGAGCAGCGUGGAAGGACCAGGGCAACUACCCUGACUGUGCGCGACGGCAGAUGUGAAGGGUGAGUUUGUUUCCCUUCCAAGCUUGUCAUUGUCAAUUUCGUAUGGAUGAUGUGUAUAUCCAAACGGUGGAUCUGAAAUUAGAUCAUGUUGGUUCUGUACUCAUUGGGUUCUUGCAUGCAUGUUUACUACUAGCCUAACGCAAAACGUUUUUCCGUCUCAGUAAUAUGCAUUGUUAAUUGAUCUACUGGUGGUUGGUUGAGUGUGCAAUAAAAUAUACGCGUUAGAUGUGUGUUUGGGUACCUAUUUCACUAUUUGUAUAAGGUGGUCUGCAGGAAAUGAUACAGGCUUGUAUGUUUAUACAGGUCGUGUUAGAUGUGUGUUUGAGUACUUAAUUCUGUAAAGUUGUUGGAUAUAUAUGUCUAUACAGAAGCUUCUCAUGUAUGUAUUCCGGUGUCAUAUCUAGUUUGGUAUUUACGCGGUUUACUUUAUUGUAGAAAAAAAAUACAUCAUACGGGUUUUUUUGACUAACUGUCAACGGAUGGACGCUUGACCACCAUGCAAGCCUUCUCUCGCCUUUAAUUUUGUAUGAACUCCUAUUUUGUAGAAAGAAUACACUCAUAGUUAGGUUAGUUGAUUAUGGUUCUGGGUUACUUAAUGUGGUAGUUAGCUUCAUUUUAUGGUUUGAUUAAUGUACACCAAUUAUUUGACAAUAAGAUUAUUUUUUAGUCAAACAAAUUAUUUUUAAAACAUAGGGUAAUUUAUUGGUUUCAAUCAAACUACAUGGCGAGGUAGAAAAGGGAAUAAAAUGAUUGCUUCUAUUGAAAUAAUCACAAGAAAAUGUGAACUCAUCCUUCUUGCUUUUGCCGUCGUUUAUUUCCCUAUCCUUUGUAUAUGAAAAAGUCAAGAUUUUAUAGUUAACGAGGCUUUAAGUAGUGUUUACUGCAUUUCAGGCUAACAGUUUAUUUCUAUCGUAGUGACUUAAACUUGGCUGGCCACAAGAGCUUCUCCCUCAAAACGCCACUCCACAUUCUUGCUGCUGUUGUGCGUGUUCAUCGCCACCGUUUCCUAGCACCUCUCGCUGUCCCACCCUGAACGCUAUUGCUGCUACAAGUGCUAGCAGCUGGAUGCCAAACCACUGCUCCCCGACCACUCGCUGAGAACUUC
This 1165-nucleotide long non-coding RNA is filed under the name Hordeum vulgare. Its description in RNAcentral is "long non-coding RNA (HVUL_LNC010189)". Lineage: Eukaryota; Viridiplantae; Streptophyta; Magnoliopsida; Poales; Poaceae. The record is from RNAcentral.